This 481-nucleotide long non-coding RNA is filed under the name Lathyrus oleraceus (garden pea). RNAcentral's name for it is "Pisum sativum (pea) long non-coding RNA (PSAT_LNC007871)". Lineage: Eukaryota; Viridiplantae; Streptophyta; Magnoliopsida; Fabales; Fabaceae. The record is from RNAcentral.
AUCACAUGAUUGCAACCGUGCAUAAUAUAGUCCACCCUUUUGAACUACCACCAAUAGAAUUAAACACACCAACUCAAUCAUUCACAACACAUCAAAUAAUUUGUCAAUAUAGAUCUCGUCCAUAUUCGUCACAUCAUACACUUUUUUCCCACCUACUACCAACCUCUGAUAAAAUCGUUAAAAUAUUUUAUCUCCAAAGCAUAGUUAUAUCCCUCUAUUUCAGCUACCUAACACUUUAAACCUCGUUCCAAAAUGAUUUACGAGUUGAAAGUUAUGAUCAAAAUCGUGCACGAAUGCAUUAUCAAAAAGUUGUUGCUUUCUGAAAUUUCCAGCAUGAUUUUCAUCUUCUCCAACCCCCAAAACGACCAUGAAAUCAUUACUAAAAUUACUUUACCCUUGAAACAAAUUUUCCUCUAUUUCAGAUACCCAAUGCUUCAAACCCCGUCUCAAAAUGAUUUACGAGUUAAAAAUUAUGAUUAAA